GUUACUGCUAUCGGUGUUCGCCUAAGCCAUGCGAGUCAUAUGUUCUUCGGAACAUGGCGUACUGCUCAGUAACACGUGGAUAACCUGCCCUUGGGUCCGGCAUAACCCCGGGAAACUGGGGAUAAUUCCGGAUAACGCACAUAUGCUGGAAUGCUUUAUGCGUCAAAUGGAUUCGUCCGCCCAAGGAUGGGUCUGCGGCCUAUCAGGUAGUAGUGGGUGUAAUGUACCUACUAGCCUACGACGGGUACGGGUUGUGAGAGCAAGAGCCCGGAGAUGGAUUCUGAGACAUGAAUCCAGGCCCUACGGGGCGCAGCAGGCGCGAAAACUUUACAAUACGGGAAACCGUGAUAAGGGGACACCGAGUGCCAGCAUCAUAUGCUGGCUGUCCGGGUGUGUAAAAUACACCUGUUAGCAAGGGCCGGGCAAGACCGGUGCCAGCCGCCGCGGUAACACCGGCGGCCCGAGUGGUGAUCGUGAUUAUUGGGUCUAAAGGGUCCGUAGCCGGUUUGGUCAGUCCUCCGGGAAAUCUGACGGCUUAACCGUUAG
This 546-nucleotide ribosomal RNA is filed under the name uncultured archaeon. RNAcentral's name for it is "bacterial SSU rRNA". It matches the Rfam family "Archaeal small subunit ribosomal RNA", at positions 23 to 569 of the family's 1478-position model. The record is from RNAcentral.